RNAcentral lists this ribosomal RNA (467 nucleotides) under uncultured bacterium. RNAcentral describes it as "partial 16S ribosomal RNA". It matches the Rfam family "Bacterial small subunit ribosomal RNA", at positions 29 to 507 of the family's 1533-position model. The record is from RNAcentral.
ACGAACGCUGGCGGCGUGCUUCACACAUGCAAGUCGAACGGAGAGGCCCUGCUUUUGUGGGGUGCUCGAGUGGCGAACGGGUGAGUAACACGUGAGUAACCUGCCCUUGACUUUGGGAUAACUUCAGGAAACUGGGGCUAAUACCGGAUAGGAGCUCCUGCUGCAUGGUGGGGGUUGGAAAGUUUCGGCGGUUGGGGAUGGACUCGCGGCUUAUCAGCUUGUUGGUGGGGUAGUGGCUUACCAAGGCUUUGACGGGUAGCCGGCCUGAGAGGGUGACCGGCCACAUUGGGACUGAGAUACGGCCCAGACUCCUACGGGAGGCAGCAGUGGGGAAUAUUGCACAAUGGGCGGAAGCCUGAUGCAGCAACGCCGCGUGCGGGAUGACGGCCUUCGGGUUGUAAACCGCUUUCGCCUGUGACGAAGCGUGAGUGACGGUAAUGGGUAAAGAAGCACCGGCUAACUACGUG